GGCUCUGGUUACUCAGUGGCUGAAAACAAGACAAAGAAGUGUGUCUUUUGCAGGAGCCAAGCUGAGGGCACACCCUGAGAAAGCCAGAAGUGAAGGACCAGAUGGAAGAAAUUUGAAACAAGUGGAGCAGGAAACUUGCCCGGAAUGGAAACAGUAAAGGUACUUAGGCCUCAGCUGGGAACUGUGCAUCCAGAGGCACAGAAGCUGUCACCCUACCAUCCCCAGAGCUGUGAGACAGGGAAAACAGCAAGAGAUGAGAAGCACUGGGACAAGCAAGCCACUGUUGGGUG
Molecule: long non-coding RNA, 290 nt
Filed under: Cavia porcellus (domestic guinea pig)
Lineage: Eukaryota; Metazoa; Chordata; Mammalia; Rodentia; Caviidae
Description: lncRNA (ENSCPOG00000037005.1)
Source: RNAcentral